GUCCAAAUCAAGCAAAGCAGGAACUGGGACUGGGUUUGCAAGGUAGCAACUAUGCUGGCUCCACUGAAGUAGAUAGAUAGUCUGAGAAUCAUACCACCUGUUGCCUGCCUGAACCAAGAACCAGAUCCCAGAGAAGGACUGUGCCAUAUUAGUUGGUUGCAGAUCUGCUAGGAUCCUAACGUUGAGAGAGAUCUAACAGGUGCUCCCUGCCUGACUAUCAGCACGGAUACGUAGUUUUCAUCUGUGGAGAAUUUUCUAACUUU
Molecule: long non-coding RNA, 263 nt
Filed under: Serinus canaria (Common canary)
Lineage: Eukaryota; Metazoa; Chordata; Aves; Passeriformes; Fringillidae
Description: lncRNA (ENSSCAG00000011584.1)
Source: RNAcentral